Transfer RNA from Pseudogymnoascus pannorum, 96 nucleotides. It matches the Rfam family "tRNA". From Rfam's summary of the family: Transfer RNA (tRNA) molecules are approximately 80 nucleotides in length. Their secondary structure includes four short double-helical elements and three loops (D, anti-codon, and T loops). Further hydrogen bonds mediate the characteristic L-shaped molecular structure. tRNAs have two regions of fundamental functional importance: the anti-codon, which is responsible for specific mRNA codon recognition, and the 3' end, to which the tRNAs corresponding amino acid is attached (by aminoacyl-tRNA synthetases). tRNAs cope with the degeneracy of the genetic code in two manners: having more than one tRNA (with a specific anti-codon) for a particular amino acid; and 'wobble' base-pairing, i.e. permitting non-standard base-pairing at the 3rd anti-codon position. NCBI's taxonomy places the organism in Eukaryota, Fungi, Ascomycota, Leotiomycetes, Thelebolales, Thelebolaceae. The record is from Rfam.
GGCCUGAUAGUUCAGUGGUAGAAUUCUUGCUUUGGGAGCUCCUAUAUGGAGAAUUCAAAUUGUAAGAGGUCUCCGGUUCAAUCCCGGAUUAGGCCC